UACAGAGGUCCCAAGCGUUGUUCGGAUUCACUGGGCGUAAAGGGUGCGUAGGCGGUCGGGUAAGUCUGAUGUGAAAUCUCACAGCUUAACUGUGAAACUGCAUUGGAUACUAUCCGGCUCGAGGAAUGGAGGGGAGACUGGAAUACUUGGUGUAGCAGUGAAAUGCGUAGAUAUCAAGUGGAACACCAGUGGCGAAGGCGGCUCACUGGACCGGUACUGACGCUGAAGCGCGAAAGCGUGGGGAGCAAACGGG
Molecule: ribosomal RNA, 253 nt
Filed under: uncultured bacterium
Lineage: Bacteria
Description: partial 16S ribosomal RNA
Rfam family: Bacterial small subunit ribosomal RNA
Source: RNAcentral